CCUACGGGAGGCAGCAGUGGGGGAUAUUGCACAAUGGGGGGAACCCUGAUGCAGCGACGCCGCGUGGGUGAAGAAGCGCCUCGGCGCGUAAAGCCCUGUCAGCAGGGAAGAAAAUGACGGUACCUGAAGAAGAAGCCCCGACUAACUACAUGCCAGCAGCCGCAGUAAUACGUAGGGGGCAAGCGUUAUCCGGAUUUACUGGGUGUAAAGGGGGCGCAGACGGCGAUGCAAGCCAGGAGUGAAAGCCCGGGGCCCAACCCCGGGACUGCUCUUGGAACUGCGUGGCUAGAGUGCAGGAGGGGCAGGCGGAAUUCCUGGUGUAGCGGUGAAAUGCGUAGAUAUCAGGAGGAACACCGGUGGCGAAGGCGGCCUGCUGGACUGCAACUGACGUUGAGGCCCGAAAGCGUGGGGAGCAAACAGGAUUAGAUACCCGUGUAGUC
Molecule: ribosomal RNA, 440 nt
Filed under: uncultured bacterium
Lineage: Bacteria
Description: partial 16S ribosomal RNA
Rfam family: Bacterial small subunit ribosomal RNA
Source: RNAcentral